Non-coding RNA from Ictidomys tridecemlineatus (thirteen-lined ground squirrel), 2227 nucleotides. Lineage: Eukaryota; Metazoa; Chordata; Mammalia; Rodentia; Sciuridae. The record is from RefSeq and is a predicted model, not a curated record.
CCUGGAGGCCAGGGGCGAAAGUGGGUCCCACUGCGGGAUCCUUUCUCUCCUAUCCGAGCCCUCAGGGUCCCUAGAGGACCCAUGACCCUCAACAAAGCAGCCCUUACUGAUGGUUUGGUGAGACACUUGCCACCGUCCUCCCUGGGUGGGUACCUGACCACUUACACAGGCUUCCUCGCGGGAACUUAAGAGCAGCUUCCUGGGUCACACCAUGAACCCACAGGGUUAACAUCUCUGUUGGUCUGAUGUCCUAUGUGUACACAAGCUUGAGACCCUGCUCGACUCUGGGCUUCUUCAAUGCUACUCAUUUGGGAUCCAGGGUCCAGCUCACUGCAGGUGCUCCUGCCUCUGCUGCCUUCUCAACCUGGCUCUCUCACCUACCAGCUGUGCAGCCUUGGGCUAAUUAUUUAACCUCUCUGAAACUCAGUUUCCUCAUUGGCAUGUGGGGACAAUACAAAAAUCUUGCUUCACAGGGUUGCUAUGUGAAUUGAAUGAAACCACAUGUUAGGGGUUUAGAACAGUCCUGGGACAAAAUAAGCACUCAGCAAAUAUUUGCUGAUGUUGACUGUUGUUAUUUGCUCAAGAAAUAUGUUUACAUUUAUAGACUGGUGGGAAAAAAAGUGCUUCCAGCCACCUCAUCUCCUCUCAUCCCUGCCCGGUCCUAUGCAACAGGGAAGUGAAUGUUCUUUUGCAAAGAAGACUCUGAGAGGUGAAGUCACUUGUUCAGGGUCACCCAACUGACAGCAUGGGCAUUACACACAGAAGGGACAGUCCAUACUCCCAUCUGCAGAAGGCUGUGCUGAACAAUGGGUUCCGGAUGUCAGUCUCCUUGAAAGUGGUGAGGAUUAAGUGAGAUGACCAGAAUGAAAAAGCCCAGAAAGUUCUGCAAAUGUUGGGGUCAACACAGCUCUUAUUUAGUGCUGGAUGUCUCCCUCUGAGUGUUCCCAGCCCCCAGAGAUUCACAGGCCUCUCCCAGCAGAAAGAAGGAGAUGGUGUGAUAAGGCCAAGAGCCUUCUCUGAGGAGACCUCUAAAGGAGGUAUCUAAGAAGUCUGGAAAAGAAGUAUCUGCAGUGGGCAGAGGCUCCAGAAGUCUUCCUGGAUUCCAGGUUGGCCUGAGGGUAAGUAGAGACCAUGACCCUUUCCACACCGGCAGCCAUUUAUAAAGCACCGGAAGUAUACGCAGAUCCCUUAGCAUGAGCAGCUCAGUUAAUCUCGGGAAGAACGUGUGGUUGUUGAACCAUUUUCUAGAUGAGACAGAUGAGAAGGUAACUUGCCUGAGCGGGGUUCUGAUCCGUGCUGCUGACCCUGAAGGCCAUACCCUUAGUCCCACACCGUCCGCCUUCGGCUCUAGGUGGCUGUUAAGGGUGCAGACAGCCCUGUACUGUCUCAAAGCCCUACUGAUUCUGGGUUCUACAUCACUGGAGAACUCAAGGCCCCUGUCUCAGAGCCGUGACAACUGAUGCCAAUGAGGCAGGCAAGGGCAAGAGCAUGGGCCACAGGCCCGGGCAUCAGGGUAAAGGCCUUCACUCCCAGCCUAAGGCUAUGGCCACGAGAAACGCUCUGACACUGACGUGGAGAACAAGAAGUCUGCAUCCCGGGCACUGCUGUUUGGAGCGAGGGCUGGCUGAAUUUAUUCUGGGAAGGAAUGUGAAGGAAACAGGGAGAAAAAUCAAAGCGGUCUUGGUUUUUCUCCAGCACCUGCCUUCCAAGAGGCAAUAAGCAUGGGAAGAUCAUUAUCUCACCAGCCACCCACCCUCGAGGCUUGGCAGGGACAGACUCUCCUUCCCAGGGGGGAGGGAGGAGGAGGGACAGCUUGGGGAGGAGAGUCCCACAGUCCCGAUUCCUGUGCUCCAGUGUGGAGAUCUGGCUGACCCCUGGGGCAGAGAUGGCCGGUGGUCACAGGUCUCUCAGCACAUGUUUUGGAACCCAUUUUUUAGUCCCUUGUGUCUAGCUGGGGCCCCAUGACUAGUUCUUGCCUGUAGAAUGUGAAUGAAAGUGAGGCUUGUCCAGAGGUGAGGGGAGGUGGUUCAGAGCAGCUUCUCUUCUUCAUCCUCCCUUUCCUCACCUGGUGGCCAGUUGCUCAGGAGCUAGGGGGAGAUCUCUGAGGCCCUGGGAAAGACUGAGUCAAGAUGGCAGGAGCCCAGAUCCCUGAAUGACUAUGUGGGUCCCCCCCACCCCCACUAACCUGGUAUGCCCUGAGCAAGAAAUAAAUCUUUGUGUUAAGCCA